This 245-nucleotide ribosomal RNA is filed under the name uncultured Selenomonadales bacterium. RNAcentral's name for it is "partial 16S ribosomal RNA". It matches the Rfam family "Bacterial small subunit ribosomal RNA", at positions 524 to 768 of the family's 1533-position model. The record is from RNAcentral. Lineage: Bacteria; Bacillati; Bacillota; Negativicutes; Selenomonadales.
UACGUAGGGUGCAAGCGUUGUCCGGAAUUAUUGGGCGUAAAGAGAACGUAGGCGGUUUGUUAAGUCUGUUCUUAAAGACCAGGGCUCAACCCUGGGAAUGGAAUGGAAACUGGCAGACUCGAGGACGUCAGAGGAAGGUGGAAUUCCCAGUGUAGCGGUGAAAUGCGUAGAUAUUGGGAGGAACACCAGUGGCGAAAGCGACCUUCUGGGACGAUCCUGACGCUGAGGUUCGAAAGCUCGGGGAG